This is a long non-coding RNA of Otolemur garnettii (small-eared galago), 2855 nucleotides long. RefSeq lists it as uncharacterized. Lineage: Eukaryota; Metazoa; Chordata; Mammalia; Primates; Galagidae. The record is from RefSeq and is a predicted model, not a curated record. The transcript is spliced from 2 exons.
UGUGUGGUUACACUGCCCUAUUUUUUAAGUAACAAUUUUGAGAAUUUUUUUUAUUGGCACAGCAUUUUUCUUAUACACAUCUGACUGGCUGGGCUCUUAGUGACUACUUAAAAUCUCCAAAGGGUUGGAAGACCUAACAUCUAAUUUUUCAACAAAAAAUGAAACAAGAGUAUAUGUUUCAUAACUGUGUCUUAAUGGAAUUUCCUCCUUUCCCUCUUUUCCCUUCUCCAUUCAAAAUGAUUAAGAAUGUUAUACAAAUGCCAAGGGAGAGAAUGGUAUAGAAGAUUAUCCAGAUGUUAAAGAAAUACCCAGUAAUGAAGAACGUCUGUUAGAUUUUAAUAGGGUGUCUUCUGUUUAUGAAGCAAGAUGUACAGGAGAGAGAAAUUCUGGAGCAAAAUCAAAUGGCUUUCGCAGAAAGAUGUGUUCCAGCGCCAGCUCUGGCUCAGAGGAUACGGGCUCAGAAGGUGGAGGCGAAUGGGUGGAUCCUGGUGAAGAGGAGCUCUUUUCUCGAACUCAUCUCUAAACCUGCAAAGUAGUACAAAUUAUUUUUUAAAAGUGAUAUGUGAUGGAAAAUUACUCUUUUGUGAGCCUGUUAAUCUAAAACAACAACUUAGGUUUCUUCAAUUAACUGAUUCAGAUCAGUAAUUAUCUUUCUCCUCUUGCUUAUUUUAGAGUUGAGGACAGCUAUCCUGUUGAAGAUUUUUUUUUUUCCCCAGCUGUUAAAUUCUUGGCUACUUGAAAUAGACUAGAUUGUGUUGUCAAACUAAGAAUGGGUGUGCAUGUGCUUGUCUUAGAAGUUUCACUGCUUUUUGCAUCUUAACCGCAGUUAAUUUCCCUUCUAACUGCAGUUAUAUCACUAUUAUCUUAUUAGCAUUGCAGUGUCAACAACCACUUCUGCUAUUCAGAGACUUUAGCUUUGGAACAUUUAGGCUUUGUUCUCUAAGAACUGGGAUAUAAAUCCUUACCCUGCGUGGCUCAGUGCCUUUUGAAGGCCAGAGGGAAGCAUGGGUGACUCAUCUGCAGUCUUCAUUCAGUAAAAUCUCAUGUACAUUUGAAGUGGGAACCACAAGGCUGUGCUUUUAGAGACUUACAAAAUACUGUGUUUUAUAUCUUAGGAUUUUUCCCCCUAAAGUAUCAUGGAAGAUACUAUGGUUUGUGACUUUCUUGCUAACUGAAGAAGCCAAGGAUUUGGAGUAUGGGGCAGUAUGUGAGGCCGAGCGGGGUGCACACCCCUCCCCACAACCUAUGCUUAUACUGCAAUUGCAUUUACACCAAAACAUCAUUCAGGGUUUUUUGUGGUAAGUUUUACAAUGCAUGAUAAGGAGCAUAAUUGCAAAUUACUAUUUUAUGGUGACCUACAUUGAGUUGAACACCCCAAAACUUGAAAUUGUAAACAUUUGGCAUUCAAUAAAGGCCACCUCAUCACCCAAAGAAAUCUUUGGCUGCUGCAGCUAGCUGCUCUCGUGGCUGUGAUGUAGUGUAGCUUAUAUCUCAUUUUGUGUUUGAGAGAAUGUUCUGGGCACGUUCUGUGUGUGGUGGGGUGGGGCGGGUAGAGUAAUGGCUUUCCCACAUGCCUGUGUGAUUGCUGUGCCGACUGUCCAGUGUCACUUGGUGAGCCCAGGGGUCGGGACACCUGGACACACUGUGUCUGUGAGUGCUGAUCACCUCCGCCAGCUGUCACAGUGUGAUGCAGCAGGUUGAGGCGAGAAGGAGCAAGAUUUGCAAAACCUAAACAUUUUAAAUUGUUUUUCUUUUUUAACCCACUCAUUUUAAAAAAAAAAAAAAAAAACCCACCUAAUCUGUGAAAUCAAUUUAGCAUGUCUGGAACACCACAGAUAGCAAAAAAAUCUGACAAGGACUGGACAGCUUUAUUACUGAUACUGGCAGGCAGGAAACACGAUUAGCUGGGAGCCGAACUACCUGUGCAAUCUGAGAUCUGCUUUGAACAUUUGGGUUUUAUUGCCUUUUUCUUAAUUGAUAACAGAAAAUACCAUCAAAGGCCAUGGAAUCUUUGUGGUCCUGUAUGUCCUCACUGUGAGAAGCCUGUCCCGCCCGUUGGGUUUGAGCUCACCACAGGUUAGGGUUUAUUUUUAUACAGCACAUGUUUUGACACUUUAAAGUGGGUUUGUCUCUGUGUGUAUGUGUGUGUGUGUGUGUGCGCGCAUGUGUAAGGUUUUAACGUUGCUGUUAUUUAUUUACAGACUUCAGAUAAGUUUUUAUGUAUUUUUCUUUCUUUUGGAGCUUCCUAAAAAUUGAUUAGCAUCUGCACUGAAAUACAAUUUAACAGCAAAGGCAAAAAAGGAUUGGAAGUUGUAAAUUCUUAAAAUCACUACAGUGACGAUUAUCCUAGUAUUUGUUGCUUAUGUAGCUGAGACCAAAUAAUUAGAUUUCAGAUACAACCUUGAGCACAGUUGACUGGACAGCUGCUGUUUGUAAGCAAAGGGCUCCAGGUGGCAAAGGUGCCGCCUUCUUCAGACAAGGCAAGAAGGUAUAGCACCUUCCACAGGGGAAUGGGGACGGAUUAUAAAUGGGCAAAGGGAUUAACAAAUUAUGUAUUUAUUUGUUUUCAUAGUUAAGUAGCUGAAGCUCAGAGGCUUUCAGCAACAGAGUUGAACGUGUGGUUUUUAGUUUUGUGAAUGGAUGAUCACAAAGAAAAAGCAUUUUUUAAAAAGUUGGCAACCGCUGAAACGCACUGUGGUAUGAAGCGCAUUGCAGAUCCAUAGCACUGAAGUAUCAGUUUCCGUUCCUGGGCUGAGAUUUUUUCCCCGUGGUUGUAUUGUUCUGAUUUUACGUACACCAGUAACUGAUUUUUUGUUUUCUUGUGGAGUUAACACCAAAUAAAAAUUUUAAAAACA